Non-coding RNA from Paramuricea clavata, 914 nucleotides. The record is from the annotation of a GenBank genome assembly. Lineage: Eukaryota; Metazoa; Cnidaria; Anthozoa; Malacalcyonacea; Plexauridae.
CCGGUUUGAAUCACAUGAUGCGUUUUAUCGUCUCUUAGCCAAUCAGCAUAACAUCCAGAUUCUGGAUGUUGAACAUGGCUUUUGAGGCGAAUUGUGUCAGGCCCUCUUUCAAUAUCGAGGGCCUGAUACUCAGGUUAUCCUUUUGAAAAUACAGUAUUAUUCUAACUGCGCGUAUAAAUCAAUAAAGACCGAAAGCCAUUAAUAAAAAAAGACAUGAAUGGAGCUUGACGGCCACAAGAACAAAGCAUGUAAGUCAUUGAAAUGAUUUAUCAAUUCUUGUUGUAUUGUGAAUUUGUGUUGCAACUGACUAUCAAGAUUAUUCUUUAAAACACGAGUAUUAUAACAAUCCCCAGCAAGUAAAAUUAAUCAAAUAUAGCUUGUUGAAAACCGUACUGCUAUAAAUUUCCCUAAGUGACAAAGGGUUUUUUAGAGAUUUUAAUACCAGUUUAUUCUAUUAGUAAAUUGUGGGGAAAAGCAACUCUUUGGAAUAUAAAGCCCUUAUAUCACCAUUAAAGUUUUUUACACCUGUAUGUAUUCCGCUUUCAGGUAUGAAUUUAUCAAGAAAAUAUGGGAUAUCUGUACUAAGUACCAGGUGGCAAUGAAGAAAGUCAAGUGUACUAUCGUGAAUGUUUAUACAGUUACAUUUAUAGAUCAGUAGUGUUAAUAUUUAGUGAUGGGCGAUACCAGGAUUUUUAAUUCGAUACCGAUACCGAUACUUUUAAGAUCGGUAUCGGCCGAUACCGAUACCUAUUUCGAUACCAAAAUGAACACAAAAUUUCAAUUUUCGAUACCGGAAGUGAGUACUUAAAUUGCUAGUAUCGGCUAUCGGCUACUUUCGAUACCUUCCGGUCAGCGGAAAAACAUUUUACAUUACUGUAUGUAACCUAAAUAAAGCUAUAUGUAAACCAAAAGCC